UACGUAGGGGGCUAGCGUUGUCCGGAAUCAUUGGGCGUAAAGAGCGUGUAGGCGGCCCGGUAAGUCCGCUGUGAAAGUCGGGGGCUCAACCCUCGAAUGCCGGUGGAUACUGUCGGGCUAGAGUGCGGAAGAGGCGAGUGGAAUUCCUGGUGUAGCGGUGAAAUGCGCAGAUAUCAGGAGGAACACCGGUGGCGAAGGCGGCAUCCUGGACCGAUACUGACGCUGAGGAGCGAAAGCGUGGGGAGCAAACAGG
This 253-nucleotide ribosomal RNA is filed under the name uncultured bacterium. RNAcentral describes it as "partial 16S ribosomal RNA". It matches the Rfam family "Bacterial small subunit ribosomal RNA", at positions 524 to 776 of the family's 1533-position model. The record is from RNAcentral.